Bactrocera latifrons is the source of this 738-nucleotide long non-coding RNA. RefSeq lists it as uncharacterized. The record is from RefSeq and is a predicted model, not a curated record. The transcript has 2 exons. NCBI's taxonomy places the organism in Eukaryota, Metazoa, Arthropoda, Insecta, Diptera, Tephritidae.
ACUAUUGUGACUGGUGACGAAACGUGGUAUUUCUAAUAUGAUCCCGAAACGAAACGCCAAAGAGCUGUGUGGAAAGCACCAGAAAAGCCGAAACCCCAAAAAUUGCCCACGGAGAAGUUAAAAUUCAAGACAAAGCUGAUUUGUUGUUAUGAUUCCAAGGGUAUUGCCCACAAAAAAUUUGUUCCACCCGGCCAAAACGUUAUUGCGCAAUAGAUUUGACGGAGAUGCUUCGAAGCUGACUCUAACCCUUACUACGAUAAUUCAUGUGUGAAAUUUACGGAAUAUCUAAAGCUUACAAAAUGUGUUUGAAAACUUUUCGUGAAUUCAGUGCAAAUUUGUAUUACAAUAGAAAACACUGGAUGUGCAAAAAAAGGAAAUCUGCAUUAGAAUUCUGCGAAAAGUGCACUUUAAACUUUAAUAACAGCAAGUCAGUUUUAGACAAUAUCAUUCUAUUCUUUUUUAAUAGACAAACUUUAUGUAUCGUGUAAAAACAUUAUAAUGCGUAAUUAAGUUUGUACAGCCGGCAUUAACAAAAAAUAUUAAGGAUAGUUGUUAAAUAGUGUUAACAAAAGCUAAAUAUGAUAUACAUAAGAGACGGGCAGUGUUAUUAAUCAGUGCUGAAGGGAAAUAUUACAUGAAUAACAAAUCAUGAAUUUCAAAAGAUUGCACUAUUACUGCUUCGUGAAAGUACGGCGUAUUACACUGAAAAACCACAUAUUUCACCAACAAAUUUCUAGC